CCUACGGGUGGCUGCAGUGAGGAAUAUUGGACAAUGGGCGCAAGCCUGAUCCAGCCAUGCCGCGUGCAGGAUGACGGUCCUAUGGAUUGUAAACUGCUUUUGCACAGGAAGAAACACUACUUCGUGAAGUAGCUUGACGGUACUGUGAGAAUAAGGAUCGGCUAACUCCGUGCCAGCAGCCGCGGUAAUACGGAGGAUCCAAGCGUUAUCCGGAAUCAUUGGGUUUAAAGGGUCCGUAGGCGGUUUAAUAAGUCAGUGGUGAAAUCUGGUCGCUCAACGAUCAAACGGCCAUUGAUACUGUUAAACUUGAAUUAUUUGGAAGUAACUAGAAUAUGUAGUGUAGCGGUGAAAUGCUUAGAUAUUACAUGGAAUACCAAUUGCGAAGGCAGGUUACUACAAAUGGAUUGACGCUGAUGGACGAAAGCGUGGGUAGCGAACAGGAUUAGAUACCCGAGUAGUC
This 460-nucleotide ribosomal RNA is filed under the name uncultured bacterium. RNAcentral describes it as "bacterial SSU rRNA". It matches the Rfam family "Bacterial small subunit ribosomal RNA", at positions 338 to 795 of the family's 1533-position model. The record is from RNAcentral.